AGUGGCGGACGGGUGAGUAACGCGUAAGAAUCUAACUUCAGGACGGGGACAACAGUGGGAAACGACUGCUAAUACCCGAUGUGCCGCGAGGUGAAACCUAAUUGGCCUGAAGAAGAGCUUGCGUCUGAUUAGCUAGUUGGUGGGGUAAGAGCCUACCCAGGCGACGAUCAGUAGCUGGUCUGAGAGGAUGAGCAGCCACACUGGGACUGAGACACGGCCCAGACUCCUACGGGAGGCAGCAGUGGGGAAUUUUCCGCAAUGGGCGAAAGCCUGACGGAGCAACGCCGCGUGAGGGAGGAAGGUCUUUGGAUUGUAAACCUCUUUUCUCAAGGAAGAAGUUCUGACGGUACUUGAGGAAUCAGCCUCGGCUAACUCCGUGCCAGCAGCCGCGGUAAUACAGGGGAGGCAAGCGUUAUCCGGAAUUAUUGGGCGUAAAGCGUCCGCAGGUGGUCAGCCAAGUCUGCCGUCAAAUCAGGUUGCUUAACGACCUAAAGGCGGUGGAAACUGGCAGACUAGAGAGCAGUAGGGGUAGCAGGAAUUCCCAGUGUAGCGGUGAAAUGCGUAGAGAUUGGGAAGAACAUCGGUGGCGAAAGCGUGCUACUGGGCUGUGUCUGACACUCAGGGACGAAAGCUAGGGGAGCGAAAGGGAUUAGAUACCCCUGUAGUCCUAGCCGUAAACGAUGGAUACUAGGCGUGGCUU
RNAcentral lists this ribosomal RNA (700 nucleotides) under uncultured bacterium. Its description in RNAcentral is "bacterial SSU rRNA". It matches the Rfam family "Bacterial small subunit ribosomal RNA", at positions 94 to 828 of the family's 1533-position model. The record is from RNAcentral.